This is a non-coding RNA of Stegodyphus mimosarum, 42 nucleotides long. The record is from Rfam. Lineage: Eukaryota; Metazoa; Arthropoda; Arachnida; Araneae; Eresidae.
CAAAAGGUUCUUUUCAGAACCAAUUUUUUUUUUAAAUUUUCU